Molecule: long non-coding RNA, 403 nt
Organism: Olea europaea var. sylvestris
Lineage: Eukaryota; Viridiplantae; Streptophyta; Magnoliopsida; Lamiales; Oleaceae
Exons: 2
Source: RefSeq, a predicted model, not a curated record
AAAGAUUUGUUUUCCGUCUAGAUGAAAUCUUGAAUAUUUGUUUAUUGGGCAAUUUUUUGCAGGAUUCUAGGAAUUUGAUUUGCAUGGUCUUGUUCGACUUUGUCGGAUUUCAGAGUCCGAUUUGUAUUGGCUUCUUCGACUUCAUUGGUUAAAUAUUCUUUGUUAUUUUUAUGUUGGAUUUGUACAUUAAACUUCAAUAUAUAUUAAAUGCUUGCUGUAUAGACUUUUGGUUUCCAUGGUCAGUUUAUCUUUUGUGGUUUCUAUUAAGUGAGUGGGUCAUUUUUUCCUCUUUCGAUUUACAUAGGCUGGCUUUUGUUUGAUUUCGUGGCUUCUUUUGUACAUAUAUAGUAAAUGCUUGUUGUACACACUUUUGAUUUCAAUGGGCAGUAAUUGAUUAUGAGUU